AUUUGGUCACGUAAUUUAAUCUAUUUAUUCGUGCAAGGAACACGUUUAUUUCGUUAUUUUCGUAAUUCCAGCACGUUUUUUAAACUAUUGUAUUUCAAUUGGAAUCAUCUUUCGUGCAUAUAGCACGAUUUUUUUCUGCCAGUCGGGCUGCAGUAGGGAAGCUGUUUAAUCAACAUUUAUUCACAAGAUCUUAUCAAGACUUCAAUAUAUAAGAAUAAAUAGGAAUCGGCAACAAUUAACGAUCUAUGCCAGCGCAAGUCAAUAUUUAUCUGGUCGUUUCAACUGUUUUUUAAUGUUAAAAGUCCCUCGCAGUCAACAGCUGUUUCCGGUGAGGUCAACUGCAGGAUCAAUAGCAUUUAGCGGUGAGUUUAAGAACGCUCAAAUGUGGGUAAAAUAACAUUCAGAGAGGAGUUUUAUUAAAACAGCGUUCAACUGCAUGUAAGACAACAUUCAGAGUCCUGUAAUAACUGUGACGUCAUCGAAUGAGACGAAGGUCCAUGGCUAUUUCAACUCGGAAGUUGAGAUGAAGGUGCGGAAACUUGAGGCUGUCGGAUACAAGUCAAUUGUAUUUACUGGGAAACGGGAAAAAAAGGACCUGCCGGAGAGCCUCGCCAUGGAGCUGCCGGAGAGCAUCGUCAUGGAACGGCCGGAGAAUCUCAACAAGGAGUCUGAGGCUGUAUUUGCAUUAAAUCUUGUUCCUCUGUCCUCUAGACUCUCUCCAACCUCUCUUGCUCCUAUUACUUUUACAACUAUUUUCCUCCACUUUCUUCCCCACCUCCUCUGACAUGCUCACUGACACGUCUUUGCCACAGAGAAAGAGGAAUACAAAGACAUCUACCUCUUCAAACUAUACCAUGGCUUCAAACUAUACCAUAAAGGGUUCCCCAAAUCUAACCCUGGAGGGCCGGAGCACUGCAGAGUUUAGCUCCAACCCUGAUCAAACACACCUGAUCAAGGUCUUCAUGAUCACUAGAAAAUCACAGGUUGUCGAUAAAAUAACUGGGGAGUUGAUAAAUAAGGGGAAAGCUGAAUUGAAAGUUCACUGGUGACCGUGCUCUGUGUGUGGCAAAACCUGGGAUGACACAUGGGAGACCGCCAACGAAUUCCAACACAAGUCCCACAUCCCAACCAGCUUUCAGCAUGACGGCCUACACCUUUUUAUUAUCAAGCACCUUUCAAUUGUUUUUGAUUGUCUUUGCUUGCUGUUCUUUAUUAAAGUUUUUGCACAGUA
Molecule: non-coding RNA, 1231 nt
Organism: Misgurnus anguillicaudatus (oriental weatherfish)
Lineage: Eukaryota; Metazoa; Chordata; Actinopteri; Cypriniformes; Cobitidae
Source: RefSeq, a predicted model, not a curated record